Ictidomys tridecemlineatus (thirteen-lined ground squirrel) is the source of this 828-nucleotide non-coding RNA. NCBI's taxonomy places the organism in Eukaryota, Metazoa, Chordata, Mammalia, Rodentia, Sciuridae. The record is from RefSeq and is a predicted model, not a curated record.
UUUAAAUCUGUUGGGGACUGUUUCCUGGGCUUCAUUAACAUUCUGAGAGUUGCUCAGCUUUUCUGGAAAUUCAUUCUCAACAUGGCCUCAUUUUAGAUUUCACUCGAUAUUAGACCCGAUUUACCUACUACACUGACUACCUAAUUUUAAAUCUGGCUUCAGUUCCAGGCACUGGAACUAAGUGGAGAGUUUUUCUUCUCCAACAGUCUCAUAUAGUAGUCUCAAAGUAGUACUUGCUAGUCUGGGAAGAAGCCUAAGACAGGACGAGAAUAGAGCUGUGCAAGUAAAUGAGCCAGGACAAGUCAUCUCCAAGCAGGGGCAAGAGUUGCUGAGUCUCCACAACAUCAGUCCUGGCUCCAAGAGUAGCCAUCACCUGCUCAGAAGAGGCUGUUGAAGGAUGGAGCUCCUGUAGAGAGCUGGACCCAGCACUGUCUGUGCAUGGCCCUCCUUUCCCGCUCCAUGAAGCCUGAAAUCACAGAAGAAACAAUAUACAUUUGAAGACCCUAACAGCACAUAAAAUAAACUGAAUACAAAAGGAUGAGAAAGGAUUGAAAAGGAUGAAGAAAAUCCUUAUUAAUGUGGGAGGCCGCCAUGUCAUGUGACUAGUGUUUUCUUCUCCUGAUUGGUUGAGGCCUUGUUGGUCACUUCCAGUGAUCUGGCCCCAUCGUAAAAAUGACACAAAUGUGUCUUCAUUCAUGGGCAUGCCUUCCUGUAUCCCCAGGGAUCGAGUUACCUUACCUGUCCUUGUAACCUGCCUCUCUUGACCUUUUCUGGAUGGAAAUUUCUAAGAAUCAGAGUUCCCCCAAUAAAAGACUACUUCUGAAUGUU